This 250-nucleotide ribosomal RNA is filed under the name uncultured bacterium. RNAcentral's name for it is "partial 16S ribosomal RNA". It matches the Rfam family "Bacterial small subunit ribosomal RNA", at positions 524 to 772 of the family's 1533-position model. The record is from RNAcentral.
UACGGAGGGGACUAGCGUUGUUCGGAAUUACUGGGCGUAAAGAGUACGUAGGCGGCUUUGCAAGUUGGGUGUGAAAGCCCGGGGCUCAACCCCGGAACUGCACUCAAAACUGUGAGGCUAGAGAUCGGAAGAGGUAAGUGGAAUUCCCAGUGUAGAGGUGAAAUUCGUAGAUAUUGGGAAGAACACCGGGUGGCGAAGGCGACUUACUGGUCCGAUACUGACGCUGAGGUACGAAAGCGUGGGGAGCAAA